GGCUUUAUAGUCAAUACAAAUGAUGAUAUUAGACUGCAAUUCUAAAGUAGACUCUUAUAGUCUAAAGCUU
RNAcentral lists this transfer RNA (70 nucleotides) under Eocanthecona furcellata. RNAcentral describes it as "tRNA-Cys". Lineage: Eukaryota; Metazoa; Arthropoda; Insecta; Hemiptera; Pentatomidae. The record is from RNAcentral.